AGAGCGAACGCUGGCGGCAGGCCUAACACAUGCAAGUCGAGCGCCCGUAGCAAUACGGGAGCGGCAGACGGGAUAGUAACACGUGGGAACGCGCCCUUCGGUUCGGAAUAACUCAGGGAAACUUGAGCUAAUACCGAAUACGCCCUUACGGGGAAAGAUUUAUUGCCGAAGGAACGGCCCGCGUCCGAUUAGCUAGUUGGUGAGGUAAUGGCUCACCAAGGCUACGAUCGGUAGCUGGUCUGAGAGGAUGACCAGCAUCACUGGGACUGAGACACGGCCCAGACUCCUACGGGAGGCAGCAGUGGGGAAUAUUGGACAAUGGGCGCAAGCCUGAUCCAGCCAUGCCGCGUGGAUGAUGAAGGCCUUAGGGUUGUAAAGUCCUUUUAACGGGGAAGAUAAGUGACGGUACCCGUAGAAUAAGCCCCGGCUAACUUCGUGCCAGCAGCCGC
This 449-nucleotide ribosomal RNA is filed under the name uncultured bacterium. Its description in RNAcentral is "SSU rRNA". It matches the Rfam family "Bacterial small subunit ribosomal RNA", at positions 26 to 518 of the family's 1533-position model. The record is from RNAcentral.